RNAcentral lists this ribosomal RNA (615 nucleotides) under Trichoderma brevicompactum. RNAcentral describes it as "eukaryotic LSU rRNA". The stretch from base 223 to 376 matches the Rfam family "5.8S ribosomal RNA". The record is from RNAcentral. Lineage: Eukaryota; Fungi; Ascomycota; Sordariomycetes; Hypocreales; Hypocreaceae.
UGUGACGCGGAGGGACAUUACCGAGUUUACAACUCCCAAACCCCAAUGUGAACGUUACCAAACUGUUGCCUCGGCGGGAUUUCUGCCCCGGGCGCGUCGCAGCCCCGGACCAAGGCGCCCGCCGGAGGACCAAUUUACAAACUCUUUUGUAUAUCCCAUCGCGGAUUCUUUACAUUCUGAGCUUUCUCGGCGCUCCUAGCGAGCGUUUCGAAAAUGAAUCAAAACUUUCAACAACGGAUCUCUUGGUUCUGGCAUCGAUGAAGAACGCAGCGAAAUGCGAUAAGUAAUGUGAAUUGCAGAAUUCAGUGAAUCAUCGAAUCUUUGAACGCACAUUGCGCCCGCCAGUAUUCUGGCGGGCAUGCCUGUCCGAGCGUCAUUUCAACCCUCGAACCCCUCCGGGGGGUCGGCGUUGGGGAUCGGCACUUACCUGCCGGCCCCGAAAUACAGUGGCGGUCUCGCCGCAGCCUCUCCUGCGCAGUAGUUUGCACACUCGCACCGGGAGCGCGGCGCGUCCACGGCCGUAAAACAACCCAAACUUCUGAAAUGUUGACCUCGGAUCAGGUAGGAAUACCCGCUGAACUUAAGCAUAUCAAAAAGCCGGAGGAAAAUGUAAUU